AAUCAACGCUGGCGGCGCGCUUAACACAUGCAAGUCGCACGAGAAAGUGGAGCAAUCCAUGAGUACAGUGGCGUACGGGUGAGUAACACGUGGGUAAUCUACCUCUUAGUGGGGAAUAACUCUGGGAACCGGAGCUAAUACCGCAUAAGCCUGGAAAGGGAAAGCAGCAAUGCGCUGAGAGAGGAGCCCGCGGCCGAUUAGCUAGUUGGUAGGGUAAAAGCCACCAAGGCAAUGAUCGGUAGCCGGCCUGAGAGGCACACGGCCACACUGGCACUAGAACGACGGGCCAGACUCCGUACGGGAGGCAGC
This 309-nucleotide ribosomal RNA is filed under the name uncultured bacterium. RNAcentral describes it as "bacterial SSU rRNA". It matches the Rfam family "Bacterial small subunit ribosomal RNA", at positions 32 to 352 of the family's 1533-position model. The record is from RNAcentral.